Molecule: ribosomal RNA, 947 nt
Filed under: uncultured Pseudomonas sp.
Lineage: Bacteria; Pseudomonadati; Pseudomonadota; Gammaproteobacteria; Pseudomonadales; Pseudomonadaceae
Description: bacterial SSU rRNA
Rfam family: Bacterial small subunit ribosomal RNA
Source: RNAcentral
AGGGUUUGAUUAUGGCUCAGAUUGAACGCUGGCGGCAGGCCUAACACAUGCAAGUCGAGCGGUAGAGAGGUGCUUGCACCUCUUGAGAGCGGCGGACGGGUGAGUAAUGCCUAGGAAUCUGCCUGGUAGUGGGGGAUAACGCUCGGAAACGGACGCUAAUACCGCAUACGUCCUACGGGAGAAAGCAGGGGACCUUCGGGCCUUGCGCUAUCAGAUGAGCCUAGGUCGGAUUAGCUAGUUGGUGGGGUAAUGGCUCACCAAGGCGACGAUCCGUAACUGGUCUGAGAGGAUGAUCAGUCACACUGGAACUGAGACACGGUCCAGACUCCUACGGGAGGCAGCAGUGGGGAAUAUUGGACAAUGGGCGAAAGCCUGAUCCAGCCAUGCCGCGUGUGUGAAGAAGGUCUUCGGAUUGUAAAGCACUUUAAGUUGGGAGGAAGGGCAUUAACCUAAUACGUUAGUGUUUUGACGUUACCGACAGAAUAAGCACCGGCUAACUCUGUGCCAGCAGCCGCGGUAAUACAGAGGGUGCAAGCGUUAAUCGGAAUUACUGGGCGUAAAGCGCGCGUAGGUGGUUCGUUAAGUUGGAUGUGAAAUCCCCGGGCUCAACCUGGGAACUGCAUUCAAAACUGUCGAGCUAGAGUAUGGUAGAGGGUGGUGGAAUUUCCUGUGUAGCGGUGAAAUGCGUAGAUAUAGGAAGGAACACCAGUGGCGAAGGCGACCACCUGGACUGAUACUGACACUGAGGUGCGAAAGCGUGGGGAGCAAACAGGAUUAGAUACCCUGGUAGUCCACGCCGUAAACGAUGUCAACUAGCCGUUGGGAGCCUUGAGCUCUUAGUGGCGCAGCUAACGCAUUAAGUUGACCGCCUGGGGAGUACGGCCGCAAGGUUAAAACUCAAGUGAAUUGACGGGGGCCCGCACAAGCGGUGGAGCAUGCGGUUUAAU